UGCCCGAUAGUGGGGGAUAACCUGGGGAAACCCAGGCUAAUACCGCAUACGUCCUACGGGAGAAAGGGGGCUUCGGCUCCCGCUAUUGGAUGAGCCUAUGCCGGAUUAGCUAGUUGGUGAGGUAAAGGCUCACCAAGGCAACGAUCCGUAGCUGGUCUGAGAGGAUGAUCAGCCACAUCGGGACUGAGACACGGCCCGAACUCCUACGGGAGGCAGCAGUGGGGAAUAUUGGACAAUGGGGGCAACCCUGAUCCAGCCAUGCCGCGUGUGUGAAGAAGGCCCUCGGGUUGUAAAGCACUUUCAGCGAGGAAGAACGCCUAGCGGUUAAUACCCGUUAGGAAAGACAUCACUCGCAGAAGAAGCACCGGCUAACUCCGUGCCAGCAGCCGCGGUAAUACGGAGGGUGCAAGCGUUAAUCGGAAUUACUGGGCGUAAAGCGCGCGUAGGUGGCUUGAUAAGCCGGUUGUGAAAGCCCCGGGCUCAACCUGGGAACGGCAUCCGGAACUGUCAGGCUAUAGAUGCAGGA
RNAcentral lists this ribosomal RNA (526 nucleotides) under uncultured bacterium. Its description in RNAcentral is "bacterial SSU rRNA". It matches the Rfam family "Bacterial small subunit ribosomal RNA", at positions 127 to 654 of the family's 1533-position model. The record is from RNAcentral.